This is a long non-coding RNA of Tripterygium wilfordii, 1178 nucleotides long. RefSeq lists it as uncharacterized. Lineage: Eukaryota; Viridiplantae; Streptophyta; Magnoliopsida; Celastrales; Celastraceae. The record is from RefSeq and is a predicted model, not a curated record. The transcript has 5 exons.
AGGCUUGGUAUAGGGGAGAGGUAAGACAAAUGUUUCUUUGAGGAACCGCAAAGAUGCUGUACAUGACUUGAACAUUGUUAAGGACAGAGGUCUCGGCAGGGGGGAUAAAGACAUAUAGAAAGUGACUGCAAGAAAUUGUUCACAAAUGCCCAAAAAUGAGUAAUAAAACAGUUGUACAUGAUGACAACUUGAUAUUUCUUGCAUGCCAAAUGAGAGUAAAGUGUGUUGCAACACUUGAUAAAGGGGGUGCGGUUUCAUAUUGUGAAAUUCCUCAAGUUUUUGGUCCAUAAGGAACAACCAUAUGCCAUGCUUCCAGUGUACAAGAUGAGUCAGAAACCUCUCUCUGAUAUCAAUCUUUUGCAUGAAAUUUUUUGGGCCACAUUUUUUUGCUGAUUAAACAUGGGGAUUUAAUUGACGGAGUCAACAUAUGAAGCUCCUGUGUAGCAUGUCAAUCCUUUGGGUGUCAAUUUGAUAUUAUCCAAGGAUAAUAAGAAACUCAUUUCCAUUACUGCCUCAAUGAGCUACUUGGAGAUAUAGUGCCAUGUGCAUCAUGUUCAAUUGGAUUAUGCUGCUCUCAGCGUUGCUAAGAACAAGCUAAUGAAGGACCUUGGCAGAUGCAAAAGCGAUUCAGAUGAUGUUGAAGGGAUUGAAGACUAUAUUUGAGAUUACUUUAUGCAGUGAUUCAGACCCAUAUGUGGAAUGCUUUCUUGAGCAUAGACAUGAAUGUAGAGGAGUGAACUGGCCUACGGUGUUACCAUCUGAUAUAGUUUUGGUUGCUCGUAUACUAGUGAAGUCUACAUUGCAAGGAGCAGGUUAUGUUGAGGUUAUCAUAAUUAUUUCUCAAAUCAGAGUGAAUUCUAUGGCAGUUGUUCGCAUGAAAUCUGUGGAUAGUUAUGGUCUGGCGGGUGAACUUAGAAAACAUCCAUCUAAUUUAGGUGCUUUAACUAGCUCGUUGGACAGGUUUUUUCUUUGUAAUAUCCAAAAAAUUUCCCUUUAGACUUCUCUUUCAUCUUUGUUUUUUCUUAUUGUCCUUGUUGUUUCUUUAACUCUUUUGUGCGCUCACUGUGGAAACUGAAGAAUUUUCGGAAAGUUGACAGUGAAAGAUGCUGGGAUGCGCAUUUGUAGGUAUCAUAUUUCCUGUAUCAUAAACAUGAUGUGACUGAGAAUUUACUUUACAA